AACGCGAAGAACCUUACCUGGGCUUGACUAGCUAGGAUUACCUCCAUGAAAGUGGAGUAGGCCCUUCGGGGUACAACUAGUACAGGUGCUGCAUGGCUGUCGUCAGCUCGUGUCGUGAGAUGUCGGGUUAAGUCCCUUAACGAGCGAAACCUUUGCCCUUAGUUACCAGCGGGUUAUGCCGGGGACUCUAAGGGGACUGCCGGUGUCAAACCGGAGGAAGGUGGAGAUGACGUCAAGUCCUCAUGGCCUUUAUGCCCAGGGCCACACACGUGCUACAAUGGGGUGCACAGAGCGAACCUAAAACGCGAGUUCAUGGAAAUCGCAGAAAUCACCCCCCAGUUCAGAUAGGAGGCUGCAACUCGCCUCCUUGAAGUUGGAAUCGCUAGUAAUCGCGGAUCAGCUACGCCGCGGUGAAUGUGUUCCCGGGCCUUGUACACACCGGCUAC
This 446-nucleotide ribosomal RNA is filed under the name uncultured bacterium. Its description in RNAcentral is "bacterial SSU rRNA". It matches the Rfam family "Bacterial small subunit ribosomal RNA", at positions 958 to 1397 of the family's 1533-position model. The record is from RNAcentral.